UAGGGAAUCUUCGGCAAUGGGGGGAACCCUGACCGAGCAACGCCGCGUGAGUGAAGAAGGUUUUCGGAUCGUAAAGCUCUGUUGUUAAGGAAGAACGAGUGUGAGAAUGGAAAGUUCAUACUGUGACGGUACUUAACCAGAAAGGGACGGCUAACUACGUGCCAGCAGCCGCGGUAAUACGUAGGUCCCGAGCGUUGUCCGGAAUUAUUGGGCGUAAAGCGCGCGUAGGCGGUUUUUUAAGUCUGAUGUGAAAGCUCACGGCUCAACCGUGGAGGGUCAUUGGAAACUGGAAAACUUGAGUGCAGAAGAGGAAAGUGGAAUUCCAUGUGUAGCGGUGAAAUGCGCAGAGAUAUGGAGGAACACCAGUGGCGAAGGCGACUUUCUGGUCUGUAACUGACGCUGAUGUGCGAAAGCGUGGGGAUCAAACAGG
This 430-nucleotide ribosomal RNA is filed under the name Bacteroidota bacterium. RNAcentral describes it as "Bacteroidetes bacterium partial 16S ribosomal RNA". It matches the Rfam family "Bacterial small subunit ribosomal RNA", at positions 355 to 776 of the family's 1533-position model. The record is from RNAcentral. Lineage: Bacteria; Pseudomonadati; Bacteroidota.